GAUGAACGCUGGCGGCGUGCCUAAUACAUGCAAGUCGAGCGAACAGACGAGGAGCUUGCUCCUCUGACGUUAGCGGCGGACGGGUGAGUAACACGUGGAUACCCUACCUAUAAGACUGGGAUAACUUCGGGAAACCGGAGCUAAUACCGGAUAAUAUAUUGAACCGCAUGGUUCAAUAGUGAAAGACGGUUUUGCUGUCACUUAUAGAUGGAUCCGCGCCGCAUUAGCUAGUUGGUAAGGUAACGGCUUACCAAGGCAACGAUGCGUAGCCGACCUGAGAGGGUGAUCGGCCACACUGGAACUGAGACACGGUCCAGACUCCUAAGGGAGGCAGCAGUAGGGAAUCUUCCGCAAUGGGCGAAAGCCUGACGGAGCAACGCCGCGUGAGUGAUGAAGGUCUUCGGAUCGUAAAACUCUGUUAUUAGGGAAGAACAAAUGUGUAAGUAACUAUGCACGUCUUGACGGUACCUAAUCAGAAAGCCACGGCUAACUACGUG
Molecule: ribosomal RNA, 497 nt
Filed under: uncultured bacterium
Lineage: Bacteria
Description: partial 16S ribosomal RNA
Rfam family: Bacterial small subunit ribosomal RNA
Source: RNAcentral